GUAUGUUGUUGUACUAGGACAAUACAGCAGGACAAUACAACAGGACAAUACAGCAGGACAAUACAACAGGACAAUACAACAGGACAAUACAACAGGACAAUACAGCAGGACAAUACAACAGGACAAUACAACAGGACAAUACAACAGGACAAUACAGCUGGACAAUACAACAGGACAAUACAGCUGGACAAUACAGCAGGACAAUACAACAGGACAAUACAGCUGGACAAUACAACAGGACAAUACAGCAGGACAAUACAGCAGGACAAUACAGCAGGACAAUACAGCAGGACAAUACAGCAGGACAAUACAACAGGACAAUACAGCAGGACAAUACAGCAGGACAAUACAACAGGACAAUACAGCAGGACAAUUCAACAGGACAAUACAGCAGGACAAUUCAACAGGACAAUACAGCAGGACAAUACAACAGGACAAUACAGCUGGACUAUAAAACAGGACAAUACAACAGGACAAUACAGCAGGACAAUACAGCUGGACAAUACAACAGGACAAUACAGCAGGACAAUACAACAGGACAAUACAACUGGACUAUACAACAGGACAAUACAGCAGGACUAUAAAACAGGACAAUACAGCUGGACUAUAAAACAGGACAAUACAACAGGACAAUACAGCAGGACAAUACAGCUGGACAAUACAGCAGGACAAUACAGCAGGACAAUACAACAGGACAAUACAACAGGACAAUACAGCAGGACAAUACAACAGGACAAUACAGCAGGACAAUACAGCAGGACUAUAAAACAGGACAAUACAGCAGGACAAUACAGCAGGACAAUACAGCAGGACAAUACAACAGGACAAUACAGCUGGACAAUACAACAGAACUAUAAAACAGGACAAUACAGCAGGACAAUACAGCUGGACAAUACAGCAGGACAAUACAACAGGACUAUAAAACAGGACAAUACAGCAGGACAAUACAACAGGACAAUACAGCAGGACAAUACAGCAGGACAAUACAGCAGGACAAUACAGCAGGACAAUACAACAGGACAAUACAGCAGGACAAUACAGCAGGACAAUACAACAGGACAAUACAACAGGACAAUACAGCAGGACAAUACAGCUGGACAAUACAACAGGACUAUAAAACAGGACAAUACAGCAGGACAAUACAGCAGGACAAUACAGCAGGACAAUACAGCUGGACAAUACAGCAGGACAAUACAGCAGGACAAUACAACAGGACUAUAA
This 1221-nucleotide long non-coding RNA is filed under the name Salmo trutta (river trout). RNAcentral describes it as "lncRNA (ENSSTUG00000032072.1)". Lineage: Eukaryota; Metazoa; Chordata; Actinopteri; Salmoniformes; Salmonidae. The record is from RNAcentral.